CAUAAAUUGAAACUAAAAAUUAUAACACUCUCGCACUCUUGAUUCUCAGACCAUGAGAGUGAACAUACUCGUUACACACAAUUUAAUUGGUUUGCCGACUAACAGUCUAUAAAAGGAAAUCUUGGGGUUCUUUAUUGCAGUAUAUUGCAUUAAUUAUAAAUAUUGAAUUAGCAAACUGAAUUACGCUACACUAUAUAUUACAGAAUAUACUACCAAAAAGCAGAAAAUAUGCUAUUAAGACUACCAAAAAAAAAUGAAAUUUUUGCCUCAAUUAAGCAAAAUCUAG
This 286-nucleotide unclassified non-coding RNA is filed under the name Hevea brasiliensis (rubber tree). Lineage: Eukaryota; Viridiplantae; Streptophyta; Magnoliopsida; Malpighiales; Euphorbiaceae. The record is from RNAcentral.